This 32-nucleotide non-coding RNA is filed under the name Rattus norvegicus (Norway rat). Lineage: Eukaryota; Metazoa; Chordata; Mammalia; Rodentia; Muridae. The record is from RNAcentral.
UAAUGCUCUUAUUACUACUGAUCAUUAGAAGU